This 253-nucleotide ribosomal RNA is filed under the name uncultured bacterium. RNAcentral describes it as "partial 16S ribosomal RNA". It matches the Rfam family "Bacterial small subunit ribosomal RNA", at positions 524 to 776 of the family's 1533-position model. The record is from RNAcentral.
UACAGAGGGGGCAAGCGUUAUUCGGAAUUAUUGGGCGUAAAGGGCGCGUAGGCGGCCUGAUAAGUAGGGGGUGAAAUCCUGCGGCUUAACCGCAGGGCUGCCUUCUAAACUGUCAGGCUGGAGCACAGCAGAGGCAGGUGGAAUUCCCGGUGUAGCGGUGGAAUGCGUAGAGAUCGGGAAGAACAUCAGUGGCGAAGGCGGCCUGCUGGGCUGUUGCUGACGCUGAGGCGCGACAGCGUGGGGAGCAAACAGG